This is a small nuclear RNA of Diceros bicornis minor, 107 nucleotides long. The record is from RefSeq and is a predicted model, not a curated record. NCBI's taxonomy places the organism in Eukaryota, Metazoa, Chordata, Mammalia, Perissodactyla, Rhinocerotidae.
GUGCUCUCUUGGGCAGCACACAUACCAAAAUGGGAACCUUACCAAGAAAAUUAGCAUGGUCUCUGCACAAGGAUGACAUGCAAAUUCAUGAAGGGUACCAUAUUAAA